UACGAAGGGGGCUAGCGUUGCUCGGAAUUACUGGGCGUAAAGGGCGCGCAGGCGGCCCUUGAAGUCAGGCGUGAAAGCCCCGGGCUCAACCUGGGAGGUGCGCUUGAUACUCGAGGGCUUGAGUGCGGGAGAGGAGAGUGGAAUUCCCAGUGUAGAGGUGAAAUUCGUAGAUAUUCGGAAGAACACCGGUGGCGAAGGCGGGUCUCUGGGCCGAUACUGACGCUGAGGAGCGAAAGCGUGGGGAGCGAACAGG
Molecule: ribosomal RNA, 253 nt
Filed under: uncultured bacterium
Lineage: Bacteria
Description: partial 16S ribosomal RNA
Rfam family: Bacterial small subunit ribosomal RNA
Source: RNAcentral